GAUGUGGCCAAUUAGUAGGCACGGUUUUGUUGACGCUGAGAACAGAAUGUAUGUUUUUAAAUAACAUUCAUAGAAUGUUCUUUGAACCUUACUGUUUUCUUGUGGUCUUUAUGGAAAGUUCUCUUAAUGUUCUGAGAAUAUGACUUUAAAUAUAACCAUGAUGAAACCUGUAAAAAACGUUAUGCUGAAGUACUGACAUCCCCAUCUAAGAAACAUGGUUCUCAGAACAUUGUGCUAGCUGGGAAUUUGUUUAUUUUUGACUGCGAACAAUCGCAGUAAAUGACUUGAUUGUUACCCAGAAAUGAUUUGAUACUGAGAUAAUGUCUGCAUUGGGCCUUUAUAUAAUCCACUAAAUAAUGCUAAUAUUAGCUUUUGCAUUUUAACUUUUAAUGUGGGAGAUCUUUUUUUUAAAACUCAAAAUAUGUCACUAAACCAAGACUCAGGUACAAGCCAGUUUCAUGGUACAGAUAAUGUUCUACAAUAUAUUAAACCCAUGACAUUUUUGUAGAAUGACCCAUUUACAGAAGUUCUAGUAGCCUAAUUUUCUCCAAAAGUUGGGUUUAUAACGUUGGUCUCAAAAUGUAAAAUAGACAAGCAUCAAAAUUAUCUAAAUGACUUUUGAUUCUGUAGCCUAAACCUGAAUUGCAGAAGUUUGUUUACAACCCGAGUUCAAGUGAGUACAAGCUUAACUGAAUGACAACAGAGACAGAAAACAAUACGUCAUUUUAUUGAAUAGUUUGGGGUAGGCCUUGUCUCCAAGAAAUGCCCCUCAAAGCCAGCAUUCCUCGAGGAUGAGGCUUACCCCAAACUAUUCAAUCAAAUUCCAUAUUCUAUUCUGUUUUACCUCAAUAAGCAAUUAAAUAAAUAUUUUGAAAGCGACUGUUUUCUGGAUGAUGUAAGAUAAACAGUACCAGUCAAAAGUUUGGAUACACCAACUCAUUUAAGGGUUUUUCUUUAUUUGUACUAUUUUCUACAUUGUAAAAUAAUAGUGAAGACAUCAAAACUAUGAAAUAAAACAUAUGGAAUCUAAAAACGUGUUAAACAAAUACAAAUAUUGUUGCCCUGGGGCUUCAUGCUGGCAAACCACCUGGUUUUUAAGAAGGUUCACUGGGCCAUGGGCCUGGACUGCUGCAGGAACUGCUUAACAGGGGCCGCACCCAUCACCAGGGAGACCCUGGAGUAUUUCAUGAGCCUUCGCCUCCCCUUGUAUGAGCUGUAUGGGAUGAGUGAAAGCACCGGCCCUCACACCAUCUCCUGGGAGAAUAACUUCAAGAUCAUGAGCUGUGGAAAGGUGGUGAAUGGCUGCCAAACAAAGUUGGACAAGCCAGACGAGGAUAGGAAUGGUGAGAUCUGUUUCUGGGGGCGUCAUGAGGCCUUGGACCUGGAGGGCUGGCUGCACUCUGGAGCAAGCACGAAAAGGACAACAUCCUGUUCAUCACAGGGAGGAUAGAGGAGCUGAUCAUAACAACAGGUGGAGAGAAUAUUCCACCUGUGCCCAUUGAGGAUGCAGUGAAAGCAGAGACCGCCAUCAUCAGCAACGCCAUGUUGCUCGGAGACAAGCUCAAAUUCCUCUCUAUGAUGCUCACACUCAAAUGUGUAGUCGACGACAACGGUUAUAUGACGGACGAGCUGACCCCAGAGGCCUUGGCAUUCUGCCAGCAGCGUGGUGUCAUGGAAACCAAGGCCUCUGAGAUUAUAGCCAGUAAGGAGCCAGCUGUUUACAAGGCCAUCCAGGAGGGCAUAGAGCUA
Long non-coding RNA from Oncorhynchus gorbuscha (pink salmon), 1749 nucleotides. RefSeq lists it as uncharacterized. The record is from RefSeq and is a predicted model, not a curated record. The transcript has 4 exons. Lineage: Eukaryota; Metazoa; Chordata; Actinopteri; Salmoniformes; Salmonidae.